AGAGUUUGAUCANGGCUCAGAUUGAACGCUGGCGGUAUGCUUUACACAUGCAAGUCGAACGGAUUAUGGAGCUUGCUCCAUAGUUAGUGGCGAACGGGUGAGUAAUAUAUCGGAACAUAUCCGGAAGUGGGGGAUAACGUAGCGAAAGUUACGCUAAUACCGCAUAUGCCCUGAGGGGGAAAGGGGGGGAUCGCAAGACCUCUCGCUUUCGGAGUGGCCGAUAUCGGAUUAGCUAGAUGGUGAGGUAAAGGCUCACCAUGGCGACGAUCCGUAGCUGGUCUGAGAGGACGACCAGCCACACUGGAACUGAGACACGGUCCAGACUCCUACGGGAGGCAGCAGUGGGGAAUUUUGGACAAUGGGCGAAAGCCUGAUCCAGCCAUACCGCGUGAGUGAAGAAGGCCUUCGGGUUGUAAAGCUCUUUCAGCCGGAAAGAAAUUGCUUCUAUUAAUACUAGGAGUAGAUGACGGUACCGGAAGAAGAAGCACCGGCUAACUACGUGCCAGCAGCCGCGGUAAU
This 519-nucleotide ribosomal RNA is filed under the name uncultured bacterium. RNAcentral describes it as "bacterial SSU rRNA". It matches the Rfam family "Bacterial small subunit ribosomal RNA", at positions 8 to 524 of the family's 1533-position model. The record is from RNAcentral.